AGUGCCAGGGUAAGAACUGUGCUCUCUUAUAAUUUUGUUGCUGUAUUUACUACUUUAGGAUUGGAUUUUUCCACUAGUUCAAUUUGAAAGAAAGCUUACCGUCCAGGAUGUCCACUUUAUGAUGGGUGGGAGGAGUGCACAUAAUUGGGAGACACAUAAAGAAGGGGAGAAGGAACCAAACUGUUUUCUAAGGAUCCAGCGUCUACGAAAAGAAAUUUCCGUUUCCCUCCAACCGCCCCCACCUGGACUCUCCUCCUGGCCACCCAAACGCUGUAGUUACUAAGCAAAAGGAUGGACUUCUUUAACUUUGAUUUCAAAGGACUGAGGCGCCGCGUUUGAGGCUCGGUUUUAGGCUCCGGGCUGGCUUGGAGUCAGCACCAGUGACGUACACACCUAAAUCUGGUCCCCGGCCCGCGGCGACCCGUAGCCCGGCGCCGGCAGCUGUGCAGCCUCCCGCCUCACCCUUGGCCCGCACUCCACGUAAGUCGGAAGGUGGGGGAAGCGUGCACCCCGUGCCCAGAGGCCCCUCCUCGCCUUACAGUUCAUUAAGCUUAGGGAUUUCAGACCCCGAACGCAAGAAGACUCGAACUCCCAGCCGCUUCAGUCAACUGUGAACACCUACACCAUGUGAGAAUAACUAGCUUGUGGCCAUCCGGAGAGGGAAUACAUUCCCUAUGUGAGCCGACAUGCUGUGGAACAGAGAUGGUGUACACAGAAAGCUUACUAAACUCAGAGAAAGUGGCAUCUUGGAACCAACCGAGCCUUACCUUCCUGACCACAGUGCCGGUUCCAGGCAUGGGCAUUGGAUUCAAGCCAGCCCAAAUCCUUCUCUUGAUAGUUGGAGCUUCAGCAAGAGGUCGGAUCCUUUUCUCCAUAGGAGGAAAACUGGGAAUCUGCUGAGUCACCGCUGUCCCUGGGUAGAGAAAGCUGAUUGCUUAGAAGAAGCCAAUCUAUAGAAAGAAGCAGAGAUCAGGAACAGAAAAUUCUGAUGGUAUUCGAACCCCUGGUUCUUGUUUCUGAGAAAUCCCCCUGAAAGCUUGCCACCCCCACUGCCUCCCAAAGCAUAUUUGUUAGAGCUUUUUUUUUUAAUUUUUUUUAUUUUGAUUGAAUAAGUCAAAACCCUGGAGUCUGACAAUCCAGCAUUUCCAGCACCCAGUCAGCCUUAUCGUGCUUCUAAAUUCUCAAUUGAGAGCUGCCUUCUCCCAGAUGCCAAGCUCAUUUUUUUUCCCUCUGUGGUUUUCUUGCAAUUAUUCUCUUACCUUGAAUGACCUCUUGCCUUCUCUCCCUGCAAUACUAAUUCUAGCCUUUCUUUAAAGUCCAACUCAAGAUGUAUCUCCUCUAUUACAACUGUUCUUGAUUGAUUCUUUUCUUCUCUGAACUGCUGUGGCCCUUCUAUCCCCAGCUUUUGCCAUGCUGCCUGAAACGUAUUUCUUUUUCUGCCUUGGUUUGUUCGUUUGCGUGUUUUCUAUGCUAGGGAAUUUUGUGUUUUGUGUAAUACUUACAAACGUAACUGCCUUGAAGAAACAGUGUCUUCCCCUUUGUUCAUCAGCACCUUGAUGUGUUUGAACAUGACAGUUUGGGGCGAGGACUGAGGGAGAAUUGAAUUGGCCUCCAUCAAAAAGAAAGGAGACUAUGAGGCUCUUGCAAGCAAUUCCAGAAAGGAGAAAGGAGGAGGAGAGAGGGGAGCGGGACAGGAGGGGAGAGCAGCGCAGCGAAGCAGGAGAAGUUUGUGUGCAGCCCAACGUGAUUGUUCUCCUGGAUUCUCAAUGGCUCAAGAAAUUAAAAUACUCUCAUGAAACGUGUGGAGAGCAUGUAUAUGUUAUGGAAACUGGUGAAGGGAUAGGGAUGAGCACAGAGAUCACCAUGGGGGAAGCCCAGAAGCCACACACAUGGAUACGUGUGCUACAGACAGAGUGACCAUGAACGAGACGCGCUCCUAGGGAUCUGCAGGAAGCAAGAGAAGAGUUUUCAACUUCAACCAGGUCUGGAUUUGGAGUUCAAGCCACGGGGCAGGAAGUCCCAGGGAACAGCUGGGCUAUGAGUGCUUGUUAGUUUAGUAUUAGACACAUCAAUCUUGCCUCGCCACGUUAUGUUUCAUGACACAGGGACCGUGCUGUCUUCGGCCUCAGAGCCUCUUAGGCUGUGUCAACCUCCAAGUAACUGUUUUCAUCGUUUGUCUCUUUAAUUUCCAAUGCUUCCUUUAUAUCGAUGGUAGGGUGAUAACUCAAUUCUCUGCUCUAUGGUAAAAGGGGGAGGAGGAAGAGGAAGAAAGGAGAGCAGGAGGAUCAUCUGGUCUUGGUCUUUGCAGGCAUGUUAAACGCCACUGCUGGUGAACCAGCUCCUCCAUUAUCUGGCCUCACCUGAUUUAUCUGACCUCGUCUCCUCUUACCCACCAUGAUUGGCUUUUCCAGGAAUGCUGAGUUCCUCUCUGUCUACGCACAUGGCAUGGAGUCUCAUCUCAGUGUUUUAUUUUUUUUUUUCAUGCUGUUGUCCUCACCUAAAACACUUUCCAUUCUCUCUACCUACCAAAUUCCAACACAAGACGCAGUUCCUCCAGGGAGCCUAUUAUGACCGCCCAUCACUCUCCAGUUAUUUUUCUUUUCUGAGCUUUAAUUACAUUUAUAGUUUGUACCAUGCCACAUAGCACUGAUUAUUGCUCUAGUGAUUUUAUGAUUGUUAAUCUUCUUAUAAGCAGCGGGAGGACUGACAGAGUGAUUUUAUAGUUUUGAUUCAGUGGGAGCUCAGGACUCAGUUAAGUGUUUAAGAAGUCCCUCCCCUAAGUGGGCUCACAAAGGGCAGGGGUUGUGUUUGGUCUCCUUCCUCUUCCCCCAGUGCUAGAACAUUGCCUGGUAAACAGUGGGUACUCAAUGAAUAUUUGUUUCAUAAUGAAUGAAUAUCAAUCUACCAACCUUUAUGAUUCCAAGUAGCUAAGACCAGUCUUUUUACUUUGUCUUUUUCCCCUAAUGUUUAAGGCAUCUUUUAUAACUCUCUUGAAUCUAAUAACUGUACUUCCUUUGUUGGAUGACUCAGUCUUUCAGGUAAUUUCAGAUGCUGCUAUUGAGCUCCUUUCAUGUGGCAUCAGUCAUUCUUAAAGCACUGAACUUACUUAAAUGACAUUUGUGUCAAAUUUAGUCUCUUUAUAUGGAAAGACACAACAAGGGAACUAGGCAUAUGCAUAGCCUGCUCCUUCACUCCCAUAAUCCUUUGAGUGUGUCAUAAUAUUGAAAAAGUAGAAUUUGGGCAAGUAUAUGGUAAAAAAUAAUCUCUCGAGACAUACCAUGUUCAUAAAUGGAAAUAUUCAAUAUCAUAAAGUUAUCAAUUGUCCCUAGAUUAAUAUGUCAAAAUAUGAUACAAUUCCAAU
Molecule: long non-coding RNA, 3361 nt
Organism: Hipposideros armiger (great roundleaf bat)
Lineage: Eukaryota; Metazoa; Chordata; Mammalia; Chiroptera; Hipposideridae
Exons: 3
Source: RefSeq, a predicted model, not a curated record